RNAcentral lists this small RNA (1000 nucleotides) under Pan troglodytes (chimpanzee). RNAcentral's name for it is "retained intron". Lineage: Eukaryota; Metazoa; Chordata; Mammalia; Primates; Hominidae. The record is from RNAcentral.
ACAGGUGGUAUCCCGAAGCCUAAUGAGCACCGCGAUCGGCGGGUCCCUGGAGAUUGUCUUGCACAGCCUGGGCCAGAAGUGUUUAAGCUUUUCCCGAGCAGAGACAGUGGCACAGCUGAGGAGCACAGAACCUCAACUGUCUGGUGUGGGUGACCGGCAGUGGUUGUAUCAGACAUGUACCGAGUUCGGCUUCUGGGACACAGACCCCUGGCAUGUGCUAAGUGUAACACAGGCUUUAGGAUCCUCAGAAUCAACUCUUCUUAUCCGCACUGGCUCCCACUGCUUGGACAUGGCACCUGAGAGGCCCUCAGACUCCCCCAGCCUCCGCCUAGGGCGCCAGAACAUCUUCCAGCAGCUACAGACCUGGCUCAAGCUGGCAAAGGAGAGCCAGAUUAAGGGUGAAGUCUGAAUCUCAUACCCUUUCCACUCCCUGCAUGGUCACCUCAGUCCUGGACAUACUUGUUCACUGAACAAAAGAAAGCAGCUUGUUUUGAAAGAAGAAACUCCCAGGAAUUGGAAUUCAGCACCUGUUCCGCACGUAAUUGGCAUGUGUCUGCAAACAUCCUUAUUCCCAACUUAAAGUGCUUUAUUGCAGAGAGUUAUGGAAAUAUAAGUGGAUGAUUAUUCUCAUUGUAAAUAUUGGUAUUUUGAAUGUUAAAUUUCAAACAAAUGUGACUUAUGCUGGUGCCCUCGCCCUGCUGAUCAGAUUCUGGUUCAAAUUCUGCCACUCCAGCUCCUGGGUUAGGGGCUUUGCUGUAAGUUUCUUUUUCUGGACUUUAGAUCCUGAACCUGUCCUUGCUUCUCAGUUUCUCUCACUGUACCCCUUUCCCUCAGUCUCUUCCUCUCUCUUUCCCCUGUCACUAUUUGUCUUUCUAAUCUCCUUCUGUUUCUCUGAAUAUCUUCAUUUCUAUCUCUGUGUUUCUGUCUAUUUCUCUGUUUAUCUUUCUGUCCUUCAAUCUGUUUUUGUUUCUGGCUCUCCGUCAGUGUCUUUGUCUCUCCU